GACGAACGCUGGCGGCGUGCUUAACACAUGCAAGUCGAACGAUGAAACCUAGCUUGCUAGGUCGAUUAGUGGCGAACGGGUGAGUAACACGUGACUAACCUGCCCCUUUCUCUGGGAUAACGCUUCGAAAGGAGUGCUAAUACCGGAUACUCACAUCGAGGCACAUGCCUUGAUGUGGAAAGUUUUUCGGAAAGGGAUGGAGUCGCGGCCUAUCAGCUUGUUGGUGAGGUAACGACUCACCAAGGCGACGACGGGUAGCCGGCCUGAGAGGGCGACCGGCCACACUGGGACUGGGACACGGCCCGGACUCCUACGGGGGGCAGCAGUGGGGAAUGUCGCACAAUGGGCGCAAGCCUGAUGCAGCGACGCGGCGUGAGGGAUGAAGGUCUUCGGAUUGUAAACCUCUUUCAGUAGGGACGAAGCGAAAGUGACGGUACCUAAAGAAGAAGCACCGGCUAACUACGUGCCAGCCGCCGCCGUAA
Molecule: ribosomal RNA, 482 nt
Filed under: uncultured bacterium
Lineage: Bacteria
Description: partial 16S ribosomal RNA
Rfam family: Bacterial small subunit ribosomal RNA
Source: RNAcentral